This is a non-coding RNA of Dermacentor albipictus, 678 nucleotides long. The record is from RefSeq and is a predicted model, not a curated record. Lineage: Eukaryota; Metazoa; Arthropoda; Arachnida; Ixodida; Ixodidae.
UUUGCGUCGUGUUUGCAUUUUUCCGUCGCCAUUUCGUACGUAUUUUUGUUAGUUGUCUCCCGUCAAGUUGGUUCUUUAUUUUAUGUUCCGGCCUCUGCACGUGCGUUUGUUUGCUCGGACAGCUGGAGCGUAAGAUGUCUCACGUCCUUGCGAAGUGAGUUGACGAUAACAAGUGGGACGUGUAUCCCGUGAAUGCUUUGGCCGACACGGAUGUGGCCUGCCGUCUCAUAUCGCAGCAGGGGUCAAUUAAAGAAGUAUUCAACUCAUCAGUUGGAAAGAAGGAGCGCCACCGGACCCGGCAGUACUCCUUGCCUUCGUCGGUGCUACUGGAGAGGAGCGCAGCGUCAGAGGGAAGAUCAACCCAUGCAGCACCUGUACUGUUCAGGUAAAGGCACUUCAAGAAGAAAAUCGGGAAUUAAAAGAUGAAGUGGAACAUAUGAAGCGGAUGGCAGAAAAACACGAUUACAUUUCUGGUGGACAUUGGGGCCGGUGUGAGUGUUGAACAAGGCACCCUAGAGAAGCUAUGCUAAGCAUGCGAAAGUGGCCUUGGCAAAUUUGCCAGGGCUCUUUUGUGAAAUGUAUUCACCCCAGAGGAGCUACGGUACGAACCGCUCCUGGGUGAGAAGAGCAACUUGCACUUAAACCAGCCAUUCAAGGAGGCCUUGGACCCUAUUCGUA